GAGCACGUAGGUGGGUUUGUAAGUCAGAUGUGAAAGCCUCCUGUUCAACGGGAGAAUUGCAUCUGAAACUGUGAAUCUUGAGUGUAGGAGGGGAGAAUGGAACUUCUGGUGGAGCGGUGAAAUGCGUAGAUAUCAGAAGGAACGCCGGCGGCGAAAGCGAUUCUCUGGCCUAUUACUGACACUCAGUGUGCGAGAGCUAGGGGAGCAAACGGGAUUAGAUACCCCGGUAGUCCUAGCCGUAAACGAUGGGCACUAAGUAGAGGGGUUA
This 268-nucleotide ribosomal RNA is filed under the name uncultured Planctomycetales bacterium. RNAcentral's name for it is "partial 16S ribosomal RNA". It matches the Rfam family "Bacterial small subunit ribosomal RNA", at positions 565 to 831 of the family's 1533-position model. Lineage: Bacteria; Pseudomonadati; Planctomycetota; Planctomycetia; Planctomycetales. The record is from RNAcentral.